Molecule: ribosomal RNA, 465 nt
Filed under: uncultured bacterium
Lineage: Bacteria
Description: partial 16S ribosomal RNA
Rfam family: Bacterial small subunit ribosomal RNA
Source: RNAcentral
GACGAACGCUGGCGGCGUGCUUAACACAUGCAAGUCGAACGGUAAGGCCCUUUCGGGGGUUCGCGAGUGGCGCACGGGUGAGUAACACGCGAGUAACCUGCCCUCAACUUUGGGAUAACGGUAGGAAAAUGGGCCCAAUUAUGGAAAUGGGCUUCUGCUGCAUGGUGGGGGUUGGAAAGCUCCGGCGGCAGUGGAUGGGCUCGCGGCGUAUUAGCUUGUUGGUGGGGUAGUGGCCUACCAAGGCGACGACGGGUAGCCGGCCUGAGAGGCUGACCGGCCACACUGGGACCUACGGGAGGCCCCAGUGCCGACGGUAGGCCGCAGGGCGGAAUCUUGCACAAUGGGCGCCAGCCUGAUGCAGCAGGUCCGCGGGUGGGAAGACGGCUUUCGGGUUGAAAAACGGUUUCAGCAGGGACGAAUCCUUUUGUGACGGUACCUACAGAAGAAGCACCGGCUAACUACGUG